RNAcentral lists this long non-coding RNA (239 nucleotides) under Gossypium barbadense (sea-island cotton). RNAcentral's name for it is "long non-coding RNA (GBAR_LNC003263)". The record is from RNAcentral. Lineage: Eukaryota; Viridiplantae; Streptophyta; Magnoliopsida; Malvales; Malvaceae.
GACUUUCGGAUGUUGAAACUCAGUCGAUUCUUGCUCGUAAUUACUCGUUCAACAUUCAUAACAAUUCAAUGAAAAGUAAAUACAUAUAAUUCAAUUUAAAGACAUUUAUUUGCAUAUGAACUUACCUCAUAGUCAGAAUAGAUGAAUCAGAUCAAUUACUCGAUAACUUUCGAUUUCCAGCGAUCUAAAUCCGAUUUCUUUCUUUCAGGAUCUAUAUGAAUUAAAAAUAAACUCAUUUA